RNAcentral lists this transfer RNA (73 nucleotides) under Fischerella sp. RNAcentral's name for it is "tRNA-Phe". It matches the Rfam family "tRNA". Rfam says of the family: Transfer RNA (tRNA) molecules are approximately 80 nucleotides in length. Their secondary structure includes four short double-helical elements and three loops (D, anti-codon, and T loops). The record is from RNAcentral. Lineage: Bacteria; Bacillati; Cyanobacteriota; Cyanophyceae; Nostocales; Hapalosiphonaceae. RNAcentral also lists the same sequence under 59 other names.
GCCGGGAUAGCUCAGUUGGUAGAGCAGAGGACUGAAAAUCCUCGUGUCACCGGUUCAAAUCCGGUUCCUGGCA